CAUGAACGCUGGCGGCGUGCCUAAUACAUGCAAGUCGAACGAGUUCUCGUUGAUGAUCGGUGCUUGCACCGAGAUUCAACAUGGAACGAGUGGCGGACGGGUGAGUAACACGUGGGUAACCUGCCCUUAAGUGGGGGAUAACAUUUGGAAACAGAUGCUAAUACCGCAUAGAUCCAAGAACCGCAUGGUUCUUGGCUGAAAGAUGGCGUAAGCUAUCGCUUUUGGAUGGACCCGCGGCGUAUUAGCUAGUUGGUGAGGUAAUGGCUCACCAAGGCGAUGAUACGUAGCCGAACUGAGAGGUUGAUCGGCCACAUUGGGACUGAGACACGGCCCAAACUCCUACGGGAGGCAGCAGUAGGGAAUCUUCCACAAUGGACGCAAGUCUGAUGGAGCAACGCCGCGUGAGUGAAGAAGGCUUUCGGGUCGUAAAACUCUGUUGUUGAAGAAGAAUGGUCGGCAGAGUAACUGUUGUCGGCGUGACGGUAUCCAACCAGAAAGCCACGGCUAACUACGUGCCAGCAGCCGCGGUAAUACGUAGGUGGCAAGCGUUAUCCGGAUUUAUUGGGCGUAAAGCGAGCGCAGGCGGUUUUUUAAGUCUGAUGUGAAAGCCCUCGGCUUAACCGAGGAAGCGCAUCGGAAACUGGGAAACUUGAGUGCAGAAGAGGACAGUGGAACUCCAUGUGUAGCGGUGAAAUGCGUAGAUAUAUGGAAGAACACCAGUGGCGAAGGCGGCUGUCUGGUCUGUAACUGACGCUGAGGCUCGAAAGCAUGGGUAGCGAACAGGAUUAGAUACCCUGGUAGUCCAUGCCGUAAACGAUGAAUGCUAGGUGUUGGAGGGUUUCCGCCCUUCAGUGCCGCAGCUAACGCAUUAAGCAUUCCGCCUGGGGAGUACGACCGCAAGGUUGAAACUCAAAGGAAUUGACGGGGGCCCGCACAAGCGGUGGAGCAUGUGGUUUAAUUCGAAGCAACGCGAAGAAGCUUACCAGGUCUUGACAUCUUUUGAUCACCCGAGAGAUCAGGUUUCCCCUUCGGGGGCAAAAUGACAGGUGGUGCAUGGUUGUCGUCAGCUCGUGUCGUGAGAUGUUGGGUUAAGUCCCGCAACGAGCGCAACCCUUAUGACUAGUUGCCAGCAUUUAGUUGGGCACUCUAGUAAGACUGCCGGUGACAAACCGGAGGAAGGUGGGGAUGACGUCAAAUCAUCAUGCCCCUUAUGACCUGGGCUACACACGUGCUACAAUGGAUGGUACAACGAGUUGCGAGACCGCGAGGUCAAGCUAAUCUCUUAAAGCCAUUCUCAGUUCGGACUGUAGGCUGCAACUCGCCUACACGAAGUCGGAAUCGCUAGUAAUCGCGGAUCAGCACGCCGCGGUGAAUACGUUCCCGGGCCUUGUACACACCGCCCGUCACACCAUGAGAGUUUGUAACACCCGAAGCCGGUGGCGUAACCCUUUUAGGGAGCGAGCCGUCUAAGGUGGGACAAAUGAUUAGGGUGAAGUCGUAACAAGGUAGCCGUAGGAGAACCUGC
RNAcentral lists this ribosomal RNA (1525 nucleotides) under unidentified. RNAcentral's name for it is "bacterial SSU rRNA". It matches the Rfam family "Bacterial small subunit ribosomal RNA". The record is from RNAcentral.